CCUGGAGCUCACUAUGUAGACCAGUCAGUCCUCAAAUUCACAGAUCCUCCUGCCUCUGCUUCUGCCUCCCAAGUGCUGGGAUUACAGGAGUGCGUCACUCUCCAUAUUUUUUGAGACUUGGUCUCUUAUUGAACCUGGGCUCCUGGUUUCUCCUCUAUUUAGCUGGGUGCCAUCUGUCUCUGUACCCCUAACCCCAGAGUUCUUUCUCUAAGCACGUUUAGCAGCUUUCCUGUGUGAAUGGAGGUGCUGUCCUUGACACCCAGGUUCCAUUCAGCUUCAUGUCCUGCAGCAGGAACCCAGACUGUCCCUUAGGUGGUUGCUAGGCUCCGGCAAGACUCCAUAGGUUAAUUCUCAAGUUCACACUUCCCGGUUACUGUCAUUUCAUGACAGUCAUGUGCUUUCAUAAACUUUGAUACAGAUAAAAGUUGAACCCUCCUCCCAAACCCACCCCAGCAAGGUCUCACCAUGUAGUUCUCUGGCUGUCCUCAAACUCAUUGUGGAGACCAACCAGGCUGGCCUAAACUCACAGAGAUCUGCCUGCCUCUGCCUCCCGAGUGCUGGGAUUAGUGCCGUGCACCAUUACCAACUGGCUAAACUGAAGUUUUAAAACUGAGUUUUCCAUUGGCAUUUAGCCAGGAAGCAGUUUUGCUGCUGGUGUUUGUUACACAAACUGGAGCGUGGUUUAUACUGGAUUUGCUGUUGGGUUAGAAAGGGAGAGGACUUGACAGCGCCUCCUUGUGGUUGCUCUGUGUGUGUCUGUGGGGAUCAGCCCAGGACUGGUGUGUGUCCGACAGAGCCCAUAUUGCUUAUGCAGGACCAGUUCCGGGUUUAUUAAUACUUGGCUUUUGUGUUUUAAGGUUACGGGAAGUUUCAGAGAAGCUGAACAAGUACAAUCUGAACAGCCACCCGCCUUUGAAUGUCCUGGAGCAGGCUACU
Cricetulus griseus (Chinese hamster) is the source of this 936-nucleotide non-coding RNA. Lineage: Eukaryota; Metazoa; Chordata; Mammalia; Rodentia; Cricetidae. The record is from RefSeq and is a predicted model, not a curated record.